RNAcentral lists this unclassified non-coding RNA (343 nucleotides) under Hevea brasiliensis (rubber tree). Lineage: Eukaryota; Viridiplantae; Streptophyta; Magnoliopsida; Malpighiales; Euphorbiaceae. The record is from RNAcentral.
UUUGCACUUCUCUAGGAAAUUUGAAUAUGAACUCUAAUAUCUUGAUGCUGCACACUGCACACAUAUAUGAACAUGCAUACAUAUUGAAUGAAACUCUAUGUUUCCAUGGCGACCACAAGAACCAACCAAGCAGGAAGGUCCUUUAAAAUCUCAAGAAAAAAAACCAUGAGAGUGCAUCAUGAUUGUUAAUAAAUUAUGUGGAUGAGCUCAUUCAGUGAUUCAUGAUACAAAAGUAUUAGCUUCAUGUCAAGGUUAAUGAUCAACAUCGCAUUUCUUAUGCAAAAUGUGUUGGUGACUGAAAUCUGUGUGCCUCUUUGCAGGGAGAGAAACAUUACUGAGCAUG